RNAcentral lists this ribosomal RNA (291 nucleotides) under uncultured bacterium. Its description in RNAcentral is "partial 16S ribosomal RNA". It matches the Rfam family "Bacterial small subunit ribosomal RNA", at positions 773 to 1060 of the family's 1533-position model. The record is from RNAcentral.
GUGGAUUAGAUACCCUGGUAGUCCACGCCGUAAACGAUGAGUGCUAGGUGUCACGGGCUUUGACCCUCGUGGUGCCGAAGCUAACGCGUUAAGCACUCCGCCUGGGGAGUACGGCCGCAAGGCUAAAACUCAAAGGAAUUGACGGGGGCCCGCACAAGCGGUGGAGCAUGUUGUUUAAUUCGACGCAACGCGAAGAACCUUACCUGGGCUAGAAAGUACGAGAAUCCGGACGAAAGUUCGGGGUGCCCUUCGGGGAACUCGUGGUUAGGUGCUGCAUGGUUGUCGUCAACU